Molecule: ribosomal RNA, 439 nt
Filed under: uncultured Anaerolineaceae bacterium
Lineage: Bacteria; Bacillati; Chloroflexota; Anaerolineae; Anaerolineales; Anaerolineaceae
Description: bacterial SSU rRNA
Rfam family: Bacterial small subunit ribosomal RNA
Source: RNAcentral
GCAGCGGAGCGUGUGGUUUAAUUCGAUGCUACACGAAGAACCUUACCAGGGUUUGACAUACAAGUAGUAGGGAAAGGAAACUGGACCGACCCUUCGGGGAGCUUGUACAGGUGCUGCAUGGCUGUCGUCAGCUCGUGUCGUGAGAUGUUCGGUUAAGUCCGCUAACGAGCGCAACCCUCGCUGUGUGUUACAAGUGUCACACGGAACUGCCGGUCAUAAACCGGAGGAAGGUGGGAUGACGUCAAAUCAUCAUGCCCCUUAUGACCUGGGCUACACACGUGCUACAAUGGCCGGUACAGACGGACGCAAAGCCGCGAGGCGGAGCAAAUCCGAAAAAGCCGGUCUCAGUUCGGAUUGCAGGCUGCAAUUCGCCUGCAUGAAGUCGGAAUCGCUAGUAAUCGCAGGUCAGCAUACUGCGGUGAAUACGUUCCCGGGCCUU